Molecule: ribosomal RNA, 510 nt
Filed under: uncultured bacterium
Lineage: Bacteria
Description: partial 16S ribosomal RNA
Rfam family: Bacterial small subunit ribosomal RNA
Source: RNAcentral
GACGAACGCUGGCGGCGUGCUUAACACAUGCAAGUCGAACGAAGAGCGAUGGAAGCUUGCUUCUAUCAAUCUUAGUGGCGAACGGGUGAGUAACGCGUAAUCAACCUGCCCUUCAGAGGGGGACAACAGUUGGAAACGACUGCUAAUACCGCAUACGAUCUAACCUCGGCAUCGAGGAUAGAUGAAAGGUGGCCUCUACAUGUAAGCUAUCACUGAAGGAGGGGAUUGCGUCUGAUUAGCUAGCUGGAGGGGUAACGGCCCACCAAGGCGAUGAUCAGUAGCCGGUCUGAGAGGAUGGACGGCCACAUUGGGACUGAGACACGGCCCAGACUCCUACGGGAGGUAGCAGUGGGGAAUCUUCCGCAAUGGACGAAAGUCUGACGGAGCAACGCCGCGUGAGUGAUGACGGCCUUCGGGUUGUAAAGCUCUGUUAAUCGGGACGAAAGGCCUUCUUGCGAAUAGUUAGAAGGAUUGACGGUACCGGAAUAGAAAGCCACGGCUAACUACGUG